UAAUUUGAAAGGGCUACCUACUAUAUUAUUCCAACUAUCUGACAUUCUGGUAAAGGCAAAGCUAUGGAAAUAGGAAAAAGAUCAGUGGAUUGCCAGGGGUCAGGAGGCAGAUAGGAA
Nomascus leucogenys (northern white-cheeked gibbon) is the source of this 117-nucleotide long non-coding RNA. RefSeq lists it as uncharacterized. Lineage: Eukaryota; Metazoa; Chordata; Mammalia; Primates; Hylobatidae. The transcript has 3 exons. The record is from RefSeq and is a predicted model, not a curated record.